GCUCCCCAUAGAGCAGGGAGCCCAAUGUGGGGUUCCAUCCCAGGACCUGAGCUGAAGGCAGACACUUAACCCACUAAGCCACUCAGCUACCCCUUUCUUACUCUUAAAAUCAUAGAUUUUUGUUUUGUUUUUAAAGAUUUUAUUUAUUUAUUCAUGAAAGACAGAGAGAGAGAGAGGCAGAAACAUAGGCAGAGGGAGAAGCAGGCUCCCUGCGGGGAGUCUGAUGAGGGACUCGAUCCCAGGUCCCUGGGAUCACACCCUCAGCCAAAGGCAGACACUCAACCACUGAGCCACCCAGGUGCCCCAAAUCAUUGCAUCUUAAAGGCAGAGGGACCCUCGAGACCACUUGCUUUGGAUGCCCAGACAUAUUAAGUGACUUGCUGGAGAACACAAGCCACUGAUAAACAUAGCAAAGCCUGGACCCCUGGCGGUGCUCACAGACCUAAUCCGGCCAUCUUUUCCAGCACAGCAGAGAUUAAUAGGCACCCCCUAAAAUCAUCUUCACAAAUAAAACCAACUCUGGGAGAGGCAAUCACCCACCCCAUUGUGAAGGUCUUCCCAACACACGUGUAUACAUACACAUUCCAGCCAUAAAUAGAAAACAGGUUAGAGACAUUUAAAAGGGUAAACUUGGGGGCACUGGGUGGCUCAGUCAGUUAAGCUGCCAACUCUUGAUCUCAGCUCAGGUCUUGAUCUCAAUGUGGUGAGUUUAAGCCCCGUGUUGGGCUCCACACUGGAAGUAGAACCUACUUAAAAUAACAACAACAAAGUAGUAGUAAUAAAAAUAAAAGGGCAAACUUUAUAAUGAGAUUCACUUAAUGCAGCAGGUACUAAAAAUCUAAGAAUGAAUGAGACUGAAGUGAAUGCCUUCCACAAGGACCUCCUAGUACAUGAGGGGAAAUGGAGCCUACAUACAUAAAUUACAAAACCACAAGCCACAUCCCAUAUUGGAGAUAAAAACAGGGUGUGAUGGGCCAUUUCUGACUCCAUGAUUAAAAUGUUUGGAUCCUUCUUCCCUCUCAUUUCUAGGGUAGCUUCUAGAAAAUUAUACUCUAACUUAAAUGAAUGAAAAAGUAACAACUGUUAUGCACAAUGCCCAGGCUGAAAUCAAAAGACUAUUUCAGAACUUUUGAAAAGAUAAAUCAUUCUUCAAAGAAAGGAAAUUCAUACUCACAAUUUUUUUCUAAGGUCAAAAAUGCUGAUGGUAUUAAAUGUGUUGAAAACUAACAAGGAAUCAUCGACUGUAGUACAAUUACCUGCUAACUCAGGGUAAAGUGACCCUCUUCAGUAGGUGAGAAAUGAACUUACUGGUUCGGGAACCUGAAAGAAUCCAAACCAUUGAGUGUCCUAGAGGUUGACAGACUCCAUGAAGCACAAUGCCAAUGGCAACUUGUGUUCUGGGACGUCUGAGAUUAAAGACCAUGAAAAUAAAACAAACAUGUGACCUUCAAAGCCACAGCCACUAAUAAAAUACUGCUGGACCUUAGGAUCCUGAGCAACCCACUAGGGCCAUGUGGAAAAGACUCCCGGAUAUCGUACAACAGUCCCCACCUGCAGCUCUUUCUUGACUUCCUACAGCAGCCUGGCCCCUGUGAACUACAAAAUACCAAUUGAUAACAAGGAGACAGACACAGAAGGUAUUUCACGAGGGCCUUAAUCAGUGUAGAAAUAUUGCAGAAGACCCUAGAAAGGACUGGUUAAAGAGGCAAGAUUUCAGAACCUGCUUAAAUGAAUGGGACAGAACCGUAUUUCCUCUCCACAUGUAGUCUGAGCAGUCUACACCUCUGGAGGUCAGGAAACAAAUUCAUGUUGGCAGGACCAAAACGCCCAGAUUCUAUAUAUCCCCCUAUUGUUAUUUCACAGCUUACGAGCAAAAGAUUAGAUUGAUUCAAACAUUUAUUAUUACUGCACAACACCCAGCCACCUCCUCUUCAUUCGAGCUGCGAACCAAUGACCUACCCAGCUGGACUCAAGAGGUCAUCUUCUACCCCUUGGCUCCUUGUCACUGCCCCAGGUGUUACUGAGAAUGAGUGACCCAGAAAGCAGGCGGAGCAUCCUAACAGAGGUGAUAUUACAGCCCUGGGCACCACUCUUUCUGGCCCCUUCAUGCAUACCUAAUGCAUCCUGUUCCUCCUAAGGCAGAAGUAGAACUGUGUUUUCAAGCUUCCAUUGCAGACAGCUCGGAGAAGAAAUUUACUUUUCCCAGAAGUUGGCACAACAUAUGUUUACUUAGGUAGACAUAUCUACACAACACUAGCAACAAAACUAAUUCAUCUCACAGCAAAUUAUUCCAGAGAGACAAUGUCACCUCUUUCUCCGUCCUAAAAUCAAAAGGGGGAGGAAAAAAAGGAAACAAAUGCAAAUUGCCCCUGGCAGAGUUUCUCGCUGAAGGUACACAGAAGGACUCAAGAGCAAUUCAAGGUUUGCAGCAAAUGCCUAUUCAUUAAACCAGUAGGAGGUGCAACACCAUCUGGCAGCCGUGUCCAGCGGAAGAUCUAUUGCUCAGGAUCACUUCUGAGCAGCAAGCAAGUUUAUUUUUUUCCCCUUUUAUGCACAAAACUACAAGGACAUCAAUGUUGGCAUCAGGCAUGCCAGGAAGGCUUAACGAGACUGGAAAAUGAGAUCCAAAAACGGAAUCCCGCAAAAGCCAGCUUUCAUCGUGCUUGAUUAAACAACAUCCUCCCAGCAUUCAGGAAUCCCAGCAAACCCCAGCGUCCCCACUGGUGACUCCUUCAGAAACCACUAGGACUUCAGGCAUGUAAGGGAGGAGAGACUGCUCCCUUACAUGCCCAAAGUGGUUUUGUUGUUGUUAGAUAGGCAUGUUAUAUAUAUGCUGAUGCAAACACAGGGGAACAGAACAGUGCAAAUACAGCUACAAAGCAUAAUACUUGGGUUCAAUGCCCCCAGGAACUGCCCCAUUCCUCUGCUACCUCCUGACCCCCGGCACUUCCCCACAGUAUCCACCUAAUGCUGGGGUGUAGGGAGGGUGGGCAGGUUAGGUUAGGGUAGGGGGUGGGCUCUCCAAGGCAGUGCUGGUGACCCAAAGGACUGCUCCAGGGCAGGGUGGUGGGGAGGCGGUCACUGAUGCCAGAAGACCUGGUGAGGGGGACGGAAUGCCCACACUGAAGCCUGGACUCGGGAGUCUGGCUGGGCAGAGGGGCGGGAGGGGGCAAGUGUAGUAGAGUCUGGGCACAAGGCCAGACAAUCACCGGGUGCCAGGAACCCCUGGAAGGCCCCCUUGGCAGAGUUCUCCCUCUGGGGCUUGCUUUCUUUGAACCUCAACAUAACCAACCAGAAUCUUCUUUUUCCCAAGUGAAGUUGCUGCCUUUUUUUCUCUAAUGGAAAUGCAACACUUACUCAAUGCCAAAAAUAUGCUCAGUGCCAAAGAGCCAGAAAAUCACAAAGAAAUUUAAAAAAAACAUUUAUCAUCCCACCACCUGCAGAUAUCACUAGUAAGAUUCUGGUAUAUUUCUUGCUUUCUCCCCCCCUCCCCACUUCUCUCUCUCGCGCGCUCUCUCUCUCUCUCUCACACACACACACACACACACACACACACACACCAUGUGCAGUGCGUGUAUAUAUACAUAUGUAUGCCUCACAUUAUGCUUGCUUUCUUAAGGCCUGCUUUUAUGCCUUAACACAUUUUAAACACUUUGCCAUGAUAAUAAAUAUUUUUCAACCACAAUUUAAAAGCUAAAUAGUACCCCAUUGCAUAUACAUGUUUUACUUUAAAUAAUCCUGUAGCAUUAGGCAUUUAUUUUUCUAUGUUAAAAAUUAACAAUAAACUUUCACUCCUUCUUUCCCAUUUCAGGUGGUUCCUCAGAGUAAAGCAAUUGCCUAGUCCAAUAAGAGGAUUUCUAGCUUUUGAUGUAGUAAUAUUCCCACAUCGUCUUCUAGAAAAGUUAUACCGUCUCCCCAAGAGGGUGUAAGAAUGCCCAUGUGCCAUAGGCUCUUAUCAAAGCUUCUACUAUCUGCAUUUUAUUGUCCUUUAAAUUUGACAGUUUUUUGCCUAUCAGAUAGGUUGUAAUUAAGCAAUUUGCCAACUAAAUAGGUGUAAAAGACUACUGCUAAUUAAAACCACAACGUUUACCAGGCACUUACUAUGUGCCACAUACUGUUAUUUUACAUAUUUCAAGUGUAUUAACUUCACAUAUGAAUGGCAAAAAUGAGGGACAGGAGGGUGAAGUGAUAUGUCCACCUGCAGCCAGAUAGUCAAUGGUGGCAGAGUCUAGACUCUGAAUCAUAACACCAUACAAUUACACAGAGAACUAGUAGAAAGAAUGAGAGGAAGGGACAAGAUUUAGACAUGAUAGAGGGGUCCCUGAAAAUGUAUCCUGCCAAUCAAUCCCUCAUCUUUAUUCAUACGUUCAACAUCACCAUUUGUGGGGUUGUCCCAUAAGUGACAGACACAGUCUUCUGAUCCAGCAAAUCCAAUCUGAAAGUAGACUUUAACUUUUCACUGGCUCACUCAUCAAAAAGUGACCCAGGUUUAUUAUUUUGGCAUAUGACUAUUUGCCUGUUUAUACUAAUCACAUGAAAGAGAAUGGGCUUAUUUGUUUUCUGGUGUAAAAAAUGAUUUGGGAUCUGGGAAUUCCACUUGUAGGUACAUAUCCCAAAGAACUGAAAGGACUGGGACAGAUACUUGGACACCCGUGUUCCCAGAAGCCUUAUCCACGACAACCAAAAGAUGACAGAAACGCAAGUGCCCAUGUCAGAGGAGUGGAUAAACAAAAGUGCUAUAUACAUGCAACGGAACAUCAUCCAGCCUUGAAAGGAAGAGAAGUCUGACGUGUUCUCCAGCGUGGAUGAACCCUGAAGACUUUAUGCUCAGUGAAAGAAGCCAAACACAAAAGGACAAUGCUUUUGGAAUGCAGUUUGCAAUUGCAUUUUGCAAAGCAAAUGGAAUAUGCUUCCAUCUAUGUUAAAUACCUAGAACAGGCAAAGUUGUAGACCAGAAAAGGACCAGCGGUUGCCAGGGUCCGACGGGUGGGAGGAAUGAGGAGAUGUUUAAUGAGUAUAGAGUGUCAGCUGAAAAGAUGCAAAAGUUCAAGAGAUGGAUGGUGGUGAGGGCUGCACAGCUAUGUGUGAAUAUACUUAAUGCCACUGAAUUGCACACUUGAAAAUGGUUAAAAUGAUAAUAUUAGCAUUAUAUGUAUUUCACCACAAUAAAAACAAAAGAAAAGAUUCACAAGGCAAAGGGCCUCCUAUAAACUUUCUAUUUAGGGUGCUUCUGUCACUUGGGCCCUAAUCAGAUCCUCAUAGACCCUUCUGGGAAACGCUACCCAACAGAAGUUAGGGGGCAUGGUACAAAUGCUUUAAUAAAAGAUGAAAAAGCCUCUGGAAACAGUCUUUAAUUGCAGGGACCAACUUAUAUUGUGCUCAACUAAGUGAGCAGUCUGGAAUACCAAAGAAAAAACAGAAUCAAAUAGACUGUAAAACCGCAUUUGCUACAGGAAUCCAAGAACAAAUGGGAAAAUCAGGUGAGCAUUCACAAAUGACUACUGAGAACAAAGAAACCACAGGAAAAGGUCUUAGCACAAGCCUGUAGA
This 5549-nucleotide long non-coding RNA is filed under the name Canis lupus familiaris (dog). RNAcentral's name for it is "lncRNA (ENSCAFG00805021333.1, ENSCAFG00845007947.1)". Lineage: Eukaryota; Metazoa; Chordata; Mammalia; Carnivora; Canidae. The record is from RNAcentral.